GUGGUUCUGCGGGUGCCAAAAC
Molecule: non-coding RNA, 22 nt
Organism: Drosophila melanogaster (fruit fly)
Lineage: Eukaryota; Metazoa; Arthropoda; Insecta; Diptera; Drosophilidae
Source: Ensembl